Long non-coding RNA from Salarias fasciatus (jewelled blenny), 202 nucleotides. RefSeq lists it as uncharacterized. Lineage: Eukaryota; Metazoa; Chordata; Actinopteri; Blenniiformes; Blenniidae. The transcript has 3 exons. The record is from RefSeq and is a predicted model, not a curated record.
CCCACGGUGGUCUGAAGUUUUUGGAUGGACGUCCUCCAACUGGAGGAAAUGUGACUCUCCUGGUCACUUUGACGGGAAGUGACUCAGCAACAGUCACAAAUGUGACUCUCUUUGACAGCUCAAGUAUGUCAGAGAUCAAUGGGUCGGUGCAGUCAUUGGGAAGCAACGACUACUUGGUAAGAUUCAGAGAAGUCCCUGCAGG